Molecule: ribosomal RNA, 492 nt
Filed under: uncultured bacterium
Lineage: Bacteria
Description: partial 16S ribosomal RNA
Rfam family: Bacterial small subunit ribosomal RNA
Source: RNAcentral
AGUGAACGCUGGCGGUAGGCCUAACACAUGCAAGUCGAACGGCAGCACAGUAAGAGCUUGCUCUUACGGGUGGCGAGUGGCGGACGGGUGAGGAAUACAUCGGAAUCUACUUUUUCGUGGGGGAUAACGUAGGGAAACUUACGCUAAUACCGCAUACGACCUACGGGUGAAAGCAGUGGAUCUUCGGACCUUGCGCGAUUGAAUGAGCCGAUGUCGGAUUAGCUAGUUGGCGGGGUAAUGGCCCACCAAGGCAACGAUCCGUAGCUGGUCUGAGAGGAUGAUCAGCCACACUGGAACUGAGACACGGUCCAGACUCCUACGGGAGGCAGCAGUGGGGAAUAUUGGACAAUGGGCGCAAGCCUGAUCCAGCCAUACCGCGUGGGUGAAGAAGGCCUUCGGGUUGUAAAGCCCUUUUGUUGGGAAAGAAAAGCAGCAGGUUAAUACCCCGCUGUUCUGACGGUACCCAAAGAAUAAGCACCGGCUAACUUCGUG